RNAcentral lists this ribosomal RNA (463 nucleotides) under uncultured bacterium. RNAcentral describes it as "partial 16S ribosomal RNA". It matches the Rfam family "Bacterial small subunit ribosomal RNA", at positions 28 to 507 of the family's 1533-position model. The record is from RNAcentral.
GAUGAACGCUGACAGAAUGCUUAACACAUGCAAGUCUUUGGCGAAGCUGUGCUUGCACAGCCUAGCCAAGGCGGACGGGUGAGUAACGCGUAAGGAACUUGCCCUGCAGUCAGGGAUAACAGACGGAAACGACUGAUAAGACCUGGUAAAGUCAGGCGGACUCAUGUCCAGCCUGAUGAAAAGAGAUGCUGCAGGAGAGCCUUGCGUCCUAUUAGCUUGUUGGUGGGGUAACGGCCCACCAAGGCGAUGAUAGGUAGCCGGCCUGAGAGGGUGGACGGCCACAAGGGGACUGAGGUACGGCCCUUACUCCUACGGGAGGCAGCAGUGGGGAAUAUUGGACAAUGGGGGCAACCCUGAUCCAGCAAUUCUGUGUGCACGAUGAAGGUUUUCGGAUUGUAAAGUGCUUUCAGCAGGGAAGAAAAAAAUGACGGUACCUGCAGAAGAAGCGACGGCUAAAUACGUG